This 245-nucleotide ribosomal RNA is filed under the name uncultured bacterium. RNAcentral describes it as "partial 16S ribosomal RNA". It matches the Rfam family "Bacterial small subunit ribosomal RNA", at positions 528 to 772 of the family's 1533-position model. The record is from RNAcentral.
UAGGGAGCGAGCGUUAUCCGGAUUUAUUGGGUGUAAAGGGUGCGUAGACGGGGAAUUAAGUUAGUUGUGAAAUCCCAUGGCUCAACUGUGGAACUACAACUAAAACUAAUUUUCUUGAGUACUGGAGAGGAAAGUGGAAUUCCUAGUGUAGCGGUGAAAUGCGUAGAUAUUAGGAGGAACACCAGUGGCGAAGGCGACUUUCUGGACAGAAACUGACGUUGAGGCACGAAAGUGUGGGGAGCAAA